This is a long non-coding RNA of Myotis brandtii (Brandt's bat), 2591 nucleotides long. RefSeq lists it as uncharacterized. Lineage: Eukaryota; Metazoa; Chordata; Mammalia; Chiroptera; Vespertilionidae. The record is from RefSeq and is a predicted model, not a curated record. The transcript is spliced from 4 exons.
UUUCUAAUCAUAGGAUUAUUGCUAUGCAUAAGGGUUAUUCUGUUAUGCAUACACUUUUUAAACUUAAUAUUACUAUGUAAAUAUGUAUCAUGUUGUUGCAUCUAGCCUAACUUUAUUUUAAAUAUUAUAUAAUACAAAUCAUAUAAACAAUUUUUAUCCCCAACUUUUAAUAAGUGAUACUCUCUGCCUUAGGGGACUGGAUAUGGAUAGGGGCCUUUUUUUUUUUAAUGUAGUAUUGGUUUUCUGUAGUGAUAGUGUUUUUAAAUGACUAAUUAUUUCUUACUGUUAUAAUAAGAAAAAAAAACAAAGAUAUAAACCACAUACACUCCAUUAAAAAUCACUUCAACCUGAAAUUUUAGGAGGCCAUUUAGCAUCACCUCCUAAUUGCACCCUCCCUUAGUCCUAACACUGACCUACCUGAGAAAUUCAAUACCCCUUUGGUAUUCCAGACAUUUCUCUUUCUGAGAGAAGUAGUGCAACCAAUUUCUUUUAACCUCUCAAAAUCCCAACUUUUUUUGUAAUUGUUGAAGCUCAGGUAUUCUUCCCCACUCCACUCCCCUCCCUAUUAAUAUCAGCUUCUUUUCAUUCCCCUCUCUUUGUUUUUGGCCUUACUAAUUCUGACAUGACUUUUUUUUUCUCAUACUCAACUGAAUAGAAGAGACAGAUUUGGCUUUGGUUCCAGAAUGAUGUUUCACAGAAAGUCAACUCUUGUUUCACAUACUUGAUAAACAUCUCACUAACUAAUUUCUUGCUGUUUCUAAGCCAUUAACAUUUUGGUUAGCAAGUCCAGAGCCCUUCAGACCCGUUUGCCUCCUACACAAGAAGUAAGCUAGUGAAACCCAAGGAGUACAGCCUGGCCCUCUUACAGCUUCUCUGUAAUGGUUUUUGUCACCUGGGCCAAGCUGCCGCCACCAUGACUGUGCACAUGGGGUGCUGCCUCAGGGCAAGUGGAAGAAUGCAAAUAUCUGUGGCCCUCACACUGCAAUUUAAGAAGAGCUGUUAGCUUAUACUCUUCCCAUUUAUUUCUCUUCCUAACCACCGAGUCUGAGGAUAAGGUACUAUUUUUACUUAUUUCCAGUGGAAAGAACAUGAAACCUUAGGGUGAUAGUGGCAUAUUGCUGAAUUAUGUGUUUUAGUCUGACUAGAAUAAAUUAGACUUUUGGUGGAGAGAGGGAAGAAAGGAGAGCAAGGAAUCCAAAGAAAAUCAGGUGAAAAAGCUAGAUUUUCCUAGCUCCUGGGUUCUAGGUAUGUAGGAAAAAAUAGCCACAAUUAAUAAUAUAGUAAUCACACGGAAGGAAGUAUAGUCAUUGAUAAGGUAUUUCUUCCCAGACAUUCAAAAUCUGGGUACUCGGAUUUUAAUUACAUUUCUCUCUAUUGAGUUAAAAUAUGCUGUCUGCAAUUAGAAUGUAAGUACAAGAUUUAAAAGAAGAAGAACACGUUUAAAAGGCUUUUAAAAAGCAAUCAAGGCUUCUUGGACAGAGAUCCUUUCAUUCAAGGAUGCUAUGUAGCAUCGCGGAAAUGAAUCCUCGACUUGGGCCCUCUACUUUCUUAGAAACAGAAACGUGCUUAAACUGUUAGGGUGAAUGAGUUGGGCAAAGUACACUCUGCAUUUUGCUUUAAAUUUUAACUAGACACAAACCAAACAAAACCUUUCACUUUGAACUUGGCUUUGAACUGAGCCUGUCCAUCUUCCAUCCUCUGCCGGAGUCAACUUCAGGCGAAUCAUUAUAGUUUCCUUGGACUCUAAUUGUCUCUCUCCUAGCAAGUCCCAUUGGUUCUACUUUCAAACGACAUCCAGAACUUGGGCACUUCCCUCCGUCCUCAUUGCCACCAUGCCAGCACAAGCCACUGCCAUCUCUUGUCUAGGCCAUUACAACAGCUUCCUAACUCCUUCCUCUCCUUCUGUUUAUAAAGCCUGUACAACCCACCUCUGCACACAGCAGACAUAUGGUUUAAUUGUCUUCGGAAGGAAUAUGACUCUGCGGCAUAACACACGUGCGAAAAGAGACGGCUCAGCACAUGGCAUUGAACCUGAAUACAACAAAGCAGACCUCACGAUACCACUUCUGAAUGCCCGCUGCCCAGCAGGACAGACGGCACCUUUGCUGAAUAAAAUCUGGGUAAUGAGAAACUUCGAUGUGGACACAGAGCUCCGGAAAGGGCAGAACUCCAAGGCCCUGAAUGGUGGCACUACUGUCCCCCAAUAGCUUUGCUAUUAGAUGCUAUUUGUCUUGCCCCUUGUUCCCGUGUUAAGUAAGAACCCAUUGCUCCCCAGAAGUAAAAGCAAUGCAAUCAUCGUUUGUUUGUUUAUUUAUUCCCUGUGCCAAGACCCAGGGUGAUGAGGCUGGAUUGCACACGGGGCGUGGGCCUCAGUAACUGGGAAGUCUCACCCUGCCCGGCCUGUCAGGCCCGUAUGUUUGGGCAAGUCGCAUAGUCCCGGGGACUCUGUCUCCUCACACAGUGGUAAUGACCGGCUUUAUGGGGUGGCUGCCGGGCUUAAUUAAGGAUUGAGAAGGAGGCAGAGAAUAUAAAGUGCUUCAUGCACGCAAAGGAUUUUCUCCCCAUAUUUAUUUUUGGACUCAGUCACCCAU